CCGCGCUAGACGGGGAGGUAGCGGUGCCCUGUACCUGCAACCCGCUAUAGCAGGGUUGAAUUCCCGGCCUAGGGAAUGUCUUGUAAGGUCUGGCUGGAGUAAGUGAUGAAGAUAUUCAGGUCCUACGCAACGAGAAAUUCUGAACCGUGUCAGGUCUGGAAGGAAGCAGCACUAAGGAAUCAAUCUUGUGUGCCGUGGGGGCGCCUGGAUGGAGUUAACUGCUCUCGUAACGCUUGGAAGGCAUUUUCAAAGCUGGGUGCGCGG
RNAcentral lists this signal recognition particle RNA (264 nucleotides) under Syntrophomonadaceae bacterium. RNAcentral describes it as "signal recognition particle sRNA large type". It matches the Rfam family "Bacterial large signal recognition particle RNA". From Rfam's summary of the family: The signal recognition particle (SRP) is a universally conserved ribonucleoprotein involved in the co-translational targeting of proteins to membranes. The record is from RNAcentral. Lineage: Bacteria; Bacillati; Bacillota; Clostridia; Eubacteriales; Syntrophomonadaceae.